RNAcentral lists this ribosomal RNA (499 nucleotides) under uncultured bacterium. Its description in RNAcentral is "bacterial SSU rRNA". It matches the Rfam family "Bacterial small subunit ribosomal RNA", at positions 46 to 524 of the family's 1533-position model. The record is from RNAcentral.
GCCUAACACAUGCAAGUCGUGCGCGAAGGUGGCUUCGGCUACCGGAGAGCGGCGAACGGGUGAGUAACACGUGGGUGAUCUGCCUGGAAGUGGGGGAUAACCUGGGGAAACUCGGGCUAACACCGCAUAAGUCGGCAAGGUUAUGGCCUUGCCAAGAAAACCGGCCUCUACUUGUAAGCUGGUGCUUCCAGAGGAGCCCGCGGCUGAUUAGCUAGUUGGUGAGGUAAUGGCUCACCAAGGCGACGAUCAGUAGCCGGCCUGAGAGGGUGAUCGGCCACACUGGGACUGAGACACGGCCCAGACUCCUACGGGAGGCAGCAGUGGGGAAUAUUGGACAAUGGGGGCAACCCUGAUCCAGCAACGCCGCGUGGAGGACGAAGGUUUUCGGAUUGUAAACUCCUGUCAGAGGGGACGAAGGCUCCUGGGUCAACAGCCCGUGGAGCUUGACGGUACUCUCAGAGGAAGCCCCGGCUAACUCUGUGCCAGCAGCCGCGGUAAU